RNAcentral lists this ribosomal RNA (441 nucleotides) under Vibrio campbellii. Its description in RNAcentral is "bacterial SSU rRNA". It matches the Rfam family "Bacterial small subunit ribosomal RNA", at positions 89 to 526 of the family's 1533-position model. Lineage: Bacteria; Pseudomonadati; Pseudomonadota; Gammaproteobacteria; Vibrionales; Vibrionaceae. The record is from RNAcentral.
CGUCGAGCGGCGGACGGGUGAGUAAUGCCUAGGAAAUUGCCCUGAUGUGGGGGAUAACCAUUGGAAACGAUGGCUAAUACCGCAUAAUGCCUACGGGCCAAAGAGGGGGACCUUCGGGCCUCUCGCGUCAGGAUAUGCCUAGGUGGGAUUAGCUAGUUGGUGAGGUAAGGGCUCACCAAGGCGACGAUCCCUAGCUGGUCUGAGAGGAUGAUCAGCCACACUGGAACUGAGACACGGUCCAGACUCCUACGGGAGGCAGCAGUGGGGAAUAUUGCACAAUGGGCGCAAGCCUGAUGCAGCCAUGCCGCGUGUGUGAAGAAGGCCUUCGGGUUGUAAAGCACUUUCAGUCGUGAGGAAGGUAGUGUAGUUAAUAGCUGCAUUAUUUGACGUUAGCGACAGAAGAAGCACCGGCUAACUCCGUGCCAGCAGCCGCGGUAAUAC